GUGUUCUCUUUGGCAGCACGUAUACGAAUAUCAAAACAAUAUAAAGAAGAUUAGCGUGGCCCCUGUCCACAAAUUCACGAAGUGUUCCAUAUUUUU
This 96-nucleotide small nuclear RNA is filed under the name Zalophus californianus (California sea lion). Lineage: Eukaryota; Metazoa; Chordata; Mammalia; Carnivora; Otariidae. The record is from RNAcentral.